CACUGCCCUGCAUGGAGCCAUGUGGCAGGCUGCUUCCUUCUGGGCCUGAACCAACAGUCUGUGGGCUCCUGCUGAAAGAAGCCCUUGGGGGCCAGGCAGAGAGCUUGCUGAGCCCUGCUCAGCCCUGCAUCGGUGAGCCAGGACCCAGAGAACUCCAGGUGACUUUUAUUUCAGAUGGAAAAAAAUGGAGGGAAGAACUCGCAGCUCUGAAGCUUCCUCCUUCAGAGGCCCUGUCUUGCCGUCACCCAGCGGGCAUCUCACCUCCUCACAGGUCAGAAACUAGUUCUGUGCCCACUAUGCCCUGGAGUUCUGUUUGAUUUCCUUGUUUGAAAUAGUCUCUUGUUUUGUCAAGUCGGCAUUCAAAUCUUCAAUAAUCUUGACAGGUAGGAUGUAGGCGAGUAGGCAGAUAGGUAUAUGAUGCUUACAUACACAGAUGUAGGGAAU
Long non-coding RNA from Erinaceus europaeus (western European hedgehog), 444 nucleotides. RefSeq lists it as uncharacterized. The transcript has 3 exons. The record is from RefSeq and is a predicted model, not a curated record. Lineage: Eukaryota; Metazoa; Chordata; Mammalia; Eulipotyphla; Erinaceidae.